AUGCUCCGGCCACCCCCGCGUCUGCCGCUCCCAGAUCCGGCCUCCACGUCGUCUGCUCCCCCCUUCCCUCCUGCCAGGAAUCAGGUGUGGGAGCUGUGCCCCGGCGACCCCGCACCGUCUCUCCCGUCUUCACCGGCAGCUCCCCAUCGGCCACCCUCAACGCUGGUCCACGCCCCAGCGAGCGCGCUGUCGCCGCCUUCUGCUGAGAUGUCUGCUGGCUCCGCACCGUGCGUCGUCCCGCAGCCAACCCCGUCUGUUGCUCGAUCCCAUCUGGAUCGGGCCCCGCCGGCGCUGGGCUGCUCCGUCCAUGCUGUUGGCGGGUCAGGGAAGGUGCCCGUGGUGUCUCCGAGCAAGUUGGUUGCCCCUGUGCGUGCGCCCGUGCGGCUGCCCGUGCGGGCCUCUGCUGCGUCGAUCUGUGUCGUGGAGGGCCCGGUGGGGAUUUGCUCUCCCGUCGCCGCGCCACCGCAUCUCGGCUCGGGUCGGCCUGAGCCCGAGUCAUGGACCUCUCUCGCCGCUGACGACGACGACGACGAUGAAGAGGAGCUGGCCCCUAUGACACCGCCUGCUGCCAAGGCCUCGGCCCCGGCCGCUGCUCUGCCGGACGUGGUGGUGAAGGCGAGCAAGGGAUGGCAGGAGGUGUUGCCCCGGCGUGGUCCGCGUCGCCCGACGUCGCUAGCCCCUGCAAUGGCUCCCCGUCCAAUCCCUGCUUGGCUGUACGGUAGAUGUUGCAGAUGCUUCGCUCCUGGGCAUCGUGCGGCCGACUGCAGAGAUCUGCUUUGGUGCUCCCGUUGCUUGGAGAACGGUCACCGUGCGCGCGGAUGCCGCAAUCCUUGGCGUCCUCCAAGUUCUUUGGCAUGCCUUGCCAUGCCGCCAGUCCUCGGUUCCAUGCGCCAUCCUGCUCUAGCUUCAUGUAAGGGUGCAAUGAAAUCCGUGCUCCCCUCCAAGGCGCUUCACCAUGGGUCUUGA
RNAcentral lists this ribosomal RNA (966 nucleotides) under Triticum aestivum (bread wheat). RNAcentral's name for it is "partial small subunit ribosomal RNA". The record is from RNAcentral. Lineage: Eukaryota; Viridiplantae; Streptophyta; Magnoliopsida; Poales; Poaceae.